UGGGGAAUUUUGGACAAUGGGGGAAACCCUGAUCCAGCCAUCCCGCGUGUGCGAUGAAGGCCUUCGGGUUGUAAAGCACUUUUGGCAGGAAAGAAACGUCAUGGGUUAAUACCCCGUGAAACUGACGGUACCUGCAGAAUAAGCACCGGCUAACUACGUGCCAGCAGCCGCGGUAAUACGUAGGGUGCAAGCGUUAAUCGGAAUUAUUGGGCGUAAAGCGUGCGGAGGCGGUUCGGAAAGAAAGAUGUGAAAUCCCAGAGCUCAACUUUGGAACUGCAUUUUUAACUACCGGGCUAGAGUGUGUCAGAGGGAGGUGGAAUUCCGCGUGUAGCAGUGAAAUGCGUAGAUAUGCGGAGGAACACCGAUGGCGAAGGCAGCCUCCUGGGAUAACACUGACGCUCAUGCACGAAAGCGUGGGGAGCAAACAGG
RNAcentral lists this ribosomal RNA (429 nucleotides) under Acidobacteriota bacterium. Its description in RNAcentral is "Acidobacteria bacterium partial 16S ribosomal RNA". It matches the Rfam family "Bacterial small subunit ribosomal RNA", at positions 355 to 776 of the family's 1533-position model. Lineage: Bacteria; Pseudomonadati; Acidobacteriota. The record is from RNAcentral.